UGAAGGUCUCCUGCAAGGCUUCUGGAUACACCUUCACCAGCAACUACAUACACUGGGUGCGACAGGCCCCAGGACAGGUGCUUGAGUGGAUGGGGAGGGUUGACCCUGAAGAUGGA
Molecule: long non-coding RNA, 116 nt
Organism: Myotis davidii
Lineage: Eukaryota; Metazoa; Chordata; Mammalia; Chiroptera; Vespertilionidae
Exons: 2
Source: RefSeq, a predicted model, not a curated record